Molecule: ribosomal RNA, 514 nt
Filed under: Chromobacterium sp. COB6
Lineage: Bacteria; Pseudomonadati; Pseudomonadota; Betaproteobacteria; Neisseriales; Chromobacteriaceae
Description: bacterial SSU rRNA
Rfam family: Bacterial small subunit ribosomal RNA
Source: RNAcentral
AGAGUUUGAUCCUGGCUCAGAUUGAACGCUGGCGGCAUGCUUUACACAUGCAAGUCGAACGGUAACAGGGUGCUUGCACCGCUGACGAGUGGCGAACGGGUGAGUAAUGCAUCGGAAUGUACCGUGUAAUGGGGGAUAGCUCGGCGAAAGCCGGAUUAAUACCGCAUACGCCCUGAGGGGGAAAGUGGGGGACCGAAAGGCCUCACGUUAUACGAGCAGCCGAUGUCUGAUUAGCUAGUUGGUGAGGUAAGAGCUCACCAAGGCGUCGAUCAGUAGCGGGUCUGAGAGGAUGAUCCGCCACACUGGGACUGAGACACGGCCCAGACUCCUACGGGAGGCAGCAGUGGGGAAUUUUGGACAAUGGGCGCAAGCCUGAUCCAGCCAUGCCGCGUGUCUGAAGAAGGCCUUCGGGUUGUAAAGGACUUUUGUCCGGGAGCAAAUCCUAGUGGUUAAUAACCGCUGGGUCUGAGAGUACCGGAAGAAUAGGGAGCAAAUCCUAGUGGUUAAUAACCGC